Molecule: unclassified non-coding RNA, 4466 nt
Filed under: Daphnia pulicaria
Lineage: Eukaryota; Metazoa; Arthropoda; Branchiopoda; Diplostraca; Daphniidae
Description: protein glass-like, transcript variant X5
Source: RNAcentral
UCCCAACCAGGGGGAUGGGGAAGGCCUGCCCCCUUUUCUCUGUGUGUGUGUGUCUCACUUCUUUUUCUGGUGGUGCCGGGUCCGCUGCUGCACGCCCGCCCGUGAGUGUGCUGUCUGCUCCUGUGUCUCGUUCGUCGUGCACACAGGACGAGAAGCACCCCUUUUCUUGCUUGCUCCUUUUUGAUUAUUAAAAAAGGGAAAAAAAGAGAUCCGUAUGUGUGUGUGUUUCUUUUUUAUAUUAUUCCCCCCGGCACACAGAGUCACACACACACAACUACUCUGCUGACUUGUGUGUGUUGUUCUUGUUUGCGAAACAUUUCUUUCAUUCGACAACACACCACCACCGCAGUGCGAGCGGUUUGUGCCCAGGCCUGAUCGGUCUGGUGAGCCUCACACCAACACACAUUUUACUUGCUACACAUUAUUAUAUUUUGACGGGGGGAUCUUUACUGCUACUGCUGCUGCUGCUCACUCCAUUUUUGUUUCGCCAAAAUAAUUCGUCCACCGACUGUUUUGUCAUUUCGGCAAGUCUAUCGAGAGAAAAAAAAGUGAGUGUGUGUGUGAAUGACCAAGUGAGUUUCUUCUUUCAGUUUUGCCCAUCUAACGCACACACUCUGGCCCCCAAGAUCAUGGAGCCGCUGCUGCUGAGUAAGAUUGAUCGGAUAUUCAACUCGCUCAGACCUCAGAAUCAUCCAAGCCUCCAUCACUCGACGUUGGAGUGAACUCUUUUAUUUUUAUUUUUAUUUCUUUAUCUUUUUUUUCUGGGGGGUGGGGUUGAGCGGCAAAAUUUCAAAUAACAUUUUCAAAGUACAAAAAAGAAAGAAAAGAGUCGGUCGGUCGUCGACGGGGGGGUUUUGAACGGAUCCUUCCAUGAUGAAUUAUCCAGUUUGGCCGGAUUCGGCCGGGGUGGCCGGUUACUCUCGGACAUUGCUGGGCCAAGGUGGAGGCGGAAUGCGGUCGUCGUUGGCUCCACCGCCACCUCCUCCGCCUGCAGCCCCCUCAAGUGCCGGGACCGCCGAUGAAGGAGGCACCAACAAAUGCAACCCGCCGAAAUAUAACGUCACCAACGGAGGAACGGACCCGACAACUAUUCAACGCUCAGCCAAUCACCAUUCAUCUUCUUCCGCAGCCGGCGGAUCCUCGUCGUCCUCGGCGGCCCGUUUGAAUAAUGGAGACGAUUGUGGCAGCAGUGGCGGCGGAGGAGCUCGAGGCCAUCAGCUCCCCUCGGCGGACAAAUACGCCCCGCUGUCUUCCUUUACCGACGACGACAGUCUCCUCAAGGUGGCGACACAUUUUCUCAGCGGUGGAAACGGGCAGGGUCGACACUACAUGCCUAUUGCCCGCGAUUACUCAACAUUGAGCUAUUCCUCGGGCGUUUCCGUCAGUACAGCCGGCUCCUAUUGUAAUCCCGGCCAGCAGCAGCAGCAGCAACAACAGCAGCAGCAACAACAACAACAGCAGCAGCAACAACAACAACAGCAAGUUGCGGCCCUCUCGUUGGAACGACCGGGGGGUACGGCACGCAAUCCUCAUACUUCAGAUGGUGGUCCGGGAGCCGGAAGCCGGAUAUCUUCAGCGUCUAGUUCAGAUAAUGGAGGACCGAAUACGGCCGGCGGCGCGGGCCAACCCAACCCGUUACUCUCUCCGUGCAGCGUCAUGGAAGAAGCCUCGAGUCCCGGCUCGACGACCAGUCAAUUAUCCUAUUUGGGUGCCCUACAAAGUCCGGCCAAUUCCGGCUUGACUCCGCUCGGCUUCCCAGCUCCGUACCUUUUAACCAAAGACGGUGCCGGAUUGGCCGCUGCGGCCGCAGCUGCCGCCGCCCAAGCUGCUCACGUCGCUGCCCAGCAGGUCGGGCACGGUGGUGGGCAUGGAGGGCAUGGUGGACAUGGCGGCGGCGGAGGACACGGCCACAGUGGACACGGUAGCGGCAUAAGCGGACCCAAACAGAAGAAAGAACCUAAACCGGGCAGUGAUGUACGUUCAUUCGGAUGUCAGGUUUGUGGACGUGGAUUCAAACAAAAGGCGACGUUGGCUCAGCACGAAAGGACCCACACGGAUGAACGACCGUUCGAUUGUCCUGAUUGCCACAAACGCUUCCGUCAGCAGUCUCACUUGGUGCAGCAUUUACGGAUUCAUUCGGACGAGCGACCCUAUGGAUGCACCUACUGCGAAAAGGCGUUCCGUCAGAAGGCGAUACUCAACCAGCAUAUCCGGAUCCAUACGGGAGAGAAGCCGUACGUUUGCCCACAGUGCACUAAAUGCUUCCGACAGAAAGCCAUACUUAAUCAGCACAUCCGGACGCACUCGGGCAAACGCCCCUACUCUUGCCCGGACGCCAAAUGCAAAAAGAAAUUUGUCGAUCAGGCGUCGAUGGAGAAACAUUUCAAAAAGCAUAUCGAGGAUGACCAGCAGCAGUUGCUGGCCGAAGCACGAGGCGGACCUGGGAUGAGGUCCACCAACGCCGGAGGACGCAACAAUGCCAAAGGAUUGUUGCGGGUCAAAUUGAACAAUUCUGACCGACCGGCUACAACUUUCAGCCGCGUCUUGGCGCCUGGCGCCGGCGGGAUCUCGACUCAGGACCGGGCCACAUCUCCUUUCCCAAUCAACAUGAUGACCCGCCCUGGACAAAACAAUAACAACAACAACAAUAAUAAUAAUGCCGCGUCGGGCGCUCCUACUCCGGCCGGAACUGCUUCCGCUUCUCCUGAACGGAUGGCCGACACUCCGGCUGCUAGCCGGAUUGAAUUAGCCGCCCACGAAGGAUCAUCUCAACAAGCACCGCCCACUUACCUGACUCAUCACGGGCACCAUCACCACCACCAGGCGGCUGCAGCCGCAGCAGCCGCCAGCAAUCCAGCUUCCGGCCCUUACCAUUUUGUUCCGUUUCCUCACCGACCCUACCACUAUGAUCUGCUGAGUCUCGGUUCCAUGGGUCAAUCCAUGUACGGCGGCGGAGGUAGCAAUAACAAGAUGGCCGAGCAGCAUGCAGCAGCCAAAUACCGCUCGGAUGCUUUGGGCGAGGCUCCUCACAGCCAACAAAUGGGAGGCGCUAUGGAUAAGGAGUGCGUCGGAGGUGCCAACAACAAUAUGGCAACCAACUACACGGUUAAUGGAAGCGUCAAAAAGGAUAGUGUUCCUUAAAGGAAAAGGAGAAGAAAGUUUUGGGGAAAUUUAAAACCUACCGACAGCUAGUAAUGACGACAACUUUAAAGAAGGGAAAAGAAGGAGAAAGGAGAAGGAGAAGAAACCGAUUUUUUAAAAUUAAGAGAAAGAGAAAAAUGAAUCGCGUCCGCCACACGUGUUUUGUAUACGUACACACCUCUGCCUUGAAAAAGAAAUUAAAACAAGUUAAAAAAUUUAGAGAAUUGCUAAAGAAUGAUUUGUGAAAGAGAGAUGAUAACAAGUUAAAGAUGUUGAUGAUGCGUCUCCCGCUGGUUCGAUUGAUCUUACGUGUCUCUUUAUAAUAAUAAUUUCGUGCGUGUUAUUACUUUUUAUCUCGUUGUUAAUUUGGUUGUUCAUUUUUUUUUAUAUAUAUAUAAAAAUUGAUCCUUGAUGACGUGCUUGAUUGUAUGAAUUUUUUCUCCUGAAUUUUUCUCGUUUGUUUAAAAAAAAAAGUUUUCUUUGUUUUUUAAUUAAGAUCCCUUCGCCUGCCCUUAUUCUCAUCCGCAUGGUGUCGCGGAAGUAAAACACACACACCCUCCACAAACAAUGUUUUGCAAAUAUCUUUUUUUUUUUCUUAAUUUUUAUUAUUUUUGAUUUCCCGAGGUCUACAAGGUACGGAUGAGCGGAAAGAAAGGAAAAAAAAAAAUAAAAUGAAAAAAUCUAAAACAUUAAAAAAAUGUAAAAUAAAAAUCAAAAAAAAAAAAAUGUGAAAGGAAAAAGAAAAGAAAGAAAAAAUACCUAGUGCUGUUGCGGAUUCACAAAUAACACUGCCACGUGGCUUCGAAUACACUAGAAUGUGCAAGUCCGAGUGAUGUUAUUAUAUAUCUUUGGUCUUUUUUAUCAGGCGAAGCUACCGGUCGACUUUUACAACCGGUGGUUUGCCGUAUAUGGUGGUAACAUGUUUUUGUUUUUCUUAAUGAUUGUCUUUCCAUCUGGUUUGUUGUUGUGUGUAUUUCGGUCUUGUUAAACUUCAAUCACAUGGAAAAAGUAACAUUUUGUCCCAUUCGUAAAACGUCGUCCCAUUAUAGGGGGCGGCACAACCUUGUUUUUCUGGUUUCUUAUCAACACAAAAAAGUUUUACGGAAUAAUAAUUAGACAUGUCGAUGACGAUAAUGAUUGCGUGUGUGUGUUUAGUGCAUCAGGGGGGAACAUUGAACUCGUUUCGGUGCCAAAAAAAUUGAUUACGCAAAAUGAAUAAGAACAGCAUGCGAAGAAAAAGAAGAGCUGAAAAAAUGGCGCCUUCGUUAUCCAAAUAAAUUAUGACACUCGACGAGAAUUUCAAAAAAGAAAAACAUUUCUCAAAA